UACGGGGGGAGCAAGCGUUGUUCGGAUUUACUGGGCGUAAAGGGCGCGUAGGCGGUCAGCACAAGUCAGUUGUGAAAUCUCCGGGCUUAACUCGGAAAGGUCAACUGAUACUGUGCGACUAGAGUGCGGAAGGGGCAACUGGAAUUCUCGGUGUAGCGGUGAAAUGCGUAGAUAUCGAGAGGAACACCUGCGGCGAAGGCGGGUUGCUGGGCUGACACUGACGCUGAUGUGCGAAAGCUAGGGGAGCGAACGGG
RNAcentral lists this ribosomal RNA (254 nucleotides) under uncultured bacterium. RNAcentral describes it as "partial 16S ribosomal RNA". It matches the Rfam family "Bacterial small subunit ribosomal RNA", at positions 524 to 776 of the family's 1533-position model. The record is from RNAcentral.